Leptonychotes weddellii (Weddell seal) is the source of this 4097-nucleotide long non-coding RNA. RefSeq lists it as uncharacterized. Lineage: Eukaryota; Metazoa; Chordata; Mammalia; Carnivora; Phocidae. The record is from RefSeq and is a predicted model, not a curated record.
UGGCUGGCUAGGGGAUGGGUGAGGGGGGUGGCUGGCCAGCUAAUGGGAAGAUGGAGGGAUGAAUGACAUCCAUAAUGAGCUGCAGGCUAGGUCUGCUCCAGCGCACUCUCUGCUUCUGCAUCAUAGAAAGAUCUUCAGGCCUGUGGGCCUGAUAGGAGCACUGAGCCACGACCCCUGACUUUUCUUACGACCCUCCUGGACUCUGGAAUGCAUUCAACCCUUCUCGACUUCUCAGAACCCCUUCGCACCCGGGUCAAUCCUUGGCUUUUUCCUUCCCAAACCAUCAUACAUUUGGUUCCCCAAGGUGCCACCCCAACCAACCCUGUCUUUCACCAGCAUCGGUGCGGAAGCCCAGAGAGUUACUUUCCUAGCAGCCAACCCCUCCUUGGAGCUACCUCGGGGCCCAACGGCCUGUUCCCUGGAGCAGGGGCUCAUAGAGGCAUGCAGAGGCUGGUGGCAGUGUCCCCUUGGGCUUUAUUGUCACAGCCCUCCCUCAGGCCCUGCUCUGGGCCCGUUCCAGAUGCCAGGCGAGCUGGGCCAGCCGUCUCGGCAGGAGUGGGCAUGUCUACUCAGAACAGCUCGGGGAUAAUGUAGUCGCUGUGGACACCGUCAAUCAACCCUUCCCCGUUGUUGUGGACAAACCAGCAGGCGACCUUGGUGCCGAAGCUGACAUCCUUCCUGUAGUCUUUCUGGGAGCCCCUGGGAAAAAGGAAAGAGACACUGUGACACACAGGGUGGACCAGACAGCUGCUAGGCUCGUGGACUUAAGGCAGGAAAAGGGUGUGAAGUUGCUAAUUCUUAGAGUCUAGAACUCUUUGGACAAGAAAGAGAUCAAAUGAUUAACUCCUUCUAGGGGGCCGAGUUUGGCCUUUUCCUGAUUAGGAGGGGCCUGGAGGGGGCCCAGGACCCCGGAGGGAAACAAGGGUAGGUACCCCACAGGAGACAAGAGCCUGCCGGGCCAGUGUGCGUGGAAGGAGAGGGCUCUCUCCUCCUGUCUUGUUACUGGGCAGGGGGAGGAUGCCAGUGGAGUGCCCUCACCUGGUGACCGUCAGUCGAUGGUUCUUCACCACCAUGGUGGCAUCUGGCUUUGUGGGGUCAGAGCCUCGGUGGAUGUCAGACACUUUAAAGUCAAAGGGAUGGAAGAAUUGUCCUGGGAACAAAAACCAUUCACGCUGUCAGCCCCUGCAUGCUACCAUCCCCGGCCAUCACCAGAGGUCCCACGGCCACUGGCCUUCCAGGGUUGAUGCAAAGGCUGACUGGGUGUUGCGUGCUGGGUCCGCAGUGACUGGGACAAUCUUUCAUGUGGCUUCCCCCCUCUACCAUGUGUCCUGAACAAUGUGAAGCUUGAACAUUCCAUACCCAGCAGCCCAUGUGUCUGUGCCGACAUCCGGUGACUGUCCACCACAUAGAAGCCCAGAAAGUCCUGAUGGACAGGAUGCUUCUUCCACACCUGGUGCAGGACAACCACAAAAGUAACCCCAUCUCCAAAGGAGACCACCAUGUUCUUCUUCCUGUUGAUUGUCACAGACAGCCUAGGAGAGAAGAGGACGUCAGCAGGUGGCGGCCAUGAUACGGGGCAUUCGAAUCCAGGGCAUUGUGGGAGGGCCUUCUCCGUACAUGGCACCUAAGAACACACGGACUCUAGAACUAUCUCAGAGGUGUUGGAGAGAAGAUGCCUCAUGCGUGUUGACUAUGUGCUCUACUGGGUGGAUCCUUAUUCCCCUGUAAGCAGAAACAGGGCUGUCCUGGGAGUCUGGAGACCUGGGAUCGAGCCUCAGCUCAGCCACUGGCUUCCUGUGUGACCUGGGGUAGGUUCUGCCCCCUCUCAGAGCUUCCUCAGGAGUGACUGCCCCUGUCCUACCACUAGGCUCCGGGCGACUUGAGGACAUAGGAGAGGCUGAGCAGUUUGAGAAGGUUCAAGUUAACAAGCUCAGCCAGGGAAGGUGAAAAUGGGGAUUAGUGUGUUAUCAGAUUGUAGGUCCAACUAAUGCUUAUGUCCAGGCAGCCCUUCCCCCAAGAUCAGUCCUGUGAACCGGCCAGCUGGCAAUGCUGGCUAGGGCCGCGUGGUCACCCUUCCCUGGGCAGGGGCUGAACUCUGAGGCCUACCGGUCUCUCCCAUGACCCCUGUGGAUCUUCUGUCCUGGGAUGUGUCCACAUCCCUCAAAGGCUCCUCAGGCCUUCGGCCUGAAGUGCUCCUCAGAGACCCGGUAGCGGACCUUACCCAUCCUGUGUGAUUGUGACAGUGUCCAGCCAGCUGAGGGUGCUCUGUGCGGCUCCGUUCCCCAGGAUGAUCUUCUCCGGCGUCACCUCCAACCGGAAGUCCAUGUGAGCAUUGGCAAUGCCCAGCUUGCCAAAGUAAGUCUUUCUGGUCUUGGAGUCAGAGUUGCCUCCCUUCUCGCCGAUGAUCUGCCCGUUAACUGUGAGGCCUGCCAGAGGGAUGGGGCAGUGAGGAGCCAGCGAGACCUUCUGAGUCCAGGUUGGUCUUUAGGAUGUGCCUUCUCCUCCAGCCAGCCUUGCUGAGUGGCAGUGUGGGGUCCCCAAAGCAAGACCAGGAAGUCAGAGCCAACCCUCUCUGGUCCUAGACACUCCUGGGUCACGCUGGCGGCUGAGGGCCCAUGCUGCAGGCCUGCCCCUUGUCUGGACCAGGGAGUGGUGUUCAGAGAAAAACCAUGUCCCAGACACAGGCUGCACCCGGGCCACCCUCAACCCUAAUCAUCUCUCCAACACCACUGGGGUCCUUGGUGAGCCUGUGGCUCUAGACAGCCCCCUCAGGGUGUGAGCUACACAUGAAGAUGAUGCAUUCUGGGCACAGUGAGGAGCUGGCCCCGGCCCCAGCCAGCAGCCCCGACCUGUGAUGGGGUCCUGAAUGAGGCGCAGCACUGUGCCCGGUUCUUCAUCGAUGUUGAAGCAGAUGGCAUCGUCUUUCUGCGGGACUUGGAUGAUGAAGUGGGGGUCCCCAUCCACUAAAGACACAUCAGAGAAAGGGCUGGCUCACCGUUCCAGGGGGAGCCUCCCCUCCCCUCUUGGCCCCAUUGGGAAGACUCCUAACAGGACGCGCUGGGGCCUGGGGCCUGGGUCUCACCCCAGGAGGAGCGGGGGGCACUCACCGUAGUAGUAGGGUGUCUGAGGAGGCUGGUAGCUGGCUGUGGACGCAGAGAGAGAGAGAGAGAGAGAGAGAAAGGCUGAGCUAAACAAGCAGGCCAAGGGAGGCACCAGGACCCCCAGCCAGAGUUGGGUUUGUGCCCCUCCCCUUUCUGCUUCCCCAGGCUCUCAAACCACCCCCAUCUCCUCAGGACCCCAACCAUCUGUCUGUUCCAGAGAGGAGACUCAGGAAGACUCCAGAAGGGAACGUGGCACAGGACCAGUCUCUGGGCAGUGCCUUCUGGGCAGGGGGCUGUGGCCGCGGGCCUGUACUCACUCAGGUCACAGAAGGCUCUCAUACUGAUUGUCCCUCCUUAUUCAGGGGAAGCCACCUCCAAACAGCUGAUGAGGACCUGAUGAGGCUCAGAGAAGGCAGAGCCCAGACCAAGGUGGCUCAUGAGUUGGCAGCAGUGCUGGGACCUGAGUGCAGGUGUCCUAAGGGCCCCUCCCUGGGCUGGGCACUUGGAAAGGCCUCCCUGGUUCUCUCUUGUCCCCCUCCUGGGACACCCGUCCCACUGCUGGCCGAAGCUCACCUUCCGUAUCCACAGGCCCUGCGAGGGAAGAGGAGGAGAAAUGUGUUAGGAUCCACAGACUCUUGGUGUCGGUACAACUCCUACCAACUUGCUGCCUGUCCCCCCGGCCCCAGGCUGUGGGCCUCCCAGCAGACAACUCCUCCCCAACCCCAAUGGUAUAAACCCUGGAGCCAGGAGCUCCUAGAGGCCAGGGGCCUGGCCUGGCCCAGCUCUUUGCCUCCUGUGCCUCCCCCUGCCAACCCCACAUCCCCACGCCCAGGUACAGGGACACUUAGGAGUCCCCUCUUGGAACCUGGUUGAGCAGGCUUGUCAAGCCUCCAGCACUCGAGGCCUUUUCUCUCACAAUCCCCAGGCACAUGCUCUGAGCCUAACUUUCAAGCUAGAAGAGCCUCUUCCUGUCUAAAUAAACAUUUCCAUGCUGCA